This 425-nucleotide ribosomal RNA is filed under the name uncultured bacterium. Its description in RNAcentral is "bacterial SSU rRNA". It matches the Rfam family "Bacterial small subunit ribosomal RNA", at positions 356 to 773 of the family's 1533-position model. The record is from RNAcentral.
GGGGAAUUUUGGACAAUGGGCGAAAGCCUGAUCCAGCCAUGCCGCGUGCAGGAUGAAGGCCUUCGGGUUGUAAACUGCUUUUGUACGGAACGAAAAAGUCUUCUCUAAUACAGGGGGCGAAUGACGGUACCGUAAGAAUAAGCACCGGCUAACUACGUGCCAGCAGCCGCGGUAAUACGUAGGGUGCAAGCGUUAAUCGGAAUUACUGGGCGUAAAGCGUGCGCAGGCGGUUAUAUAAGACUGAUGUGAAAUCCCCGGGCUCAACCUGGGAACUGCAUUAGUGACUGUAUAGCUAGAGUGCGGCAGAGGGGGAUGGAAUUCCGCGUGUAGCAGUGAAAUGCGUAGAUAUGCGGAGGAACACCGAUGGCGAAGGCAAUCCCCUGGGCCUGCACUGACGCUCAUGCACGAAAGCGUGGGGAGCAAAC